Molecule: ribosomal RNA, 214 nt
Filed under: uncultured bacterium
Lineage: Bacteria
Description: partial 16S ribosomal RNA
Rfam family: Bacterial small subunit ribosomal RNA
Source: RNAcentral
CAGUUCGGAUUGUAGUCUGCAACCCGACUACAUGAAGCCGGAAUCGCUAGUAAUCGCGGAUCAGAAUGCCGCGGUGAAUACGUUCCCGGGUCUUGUACACACCGCCCGUCACACCAUGGGAGUCGGAAAUGCCCGAAGCCGGUGACCCAACCCGAAAGGGAGGGAGCCGUCGAAGGCAGGUCGGAUGACUGGGGUGAAGUCGUAACAAGGUACC